GCCUACAGCCAUCCCACCCUGGCAACGCCCGAUCUCGUCCGAUCUCGGAAGCUAAGCAGGGUCGGGCCUGGUUAUUACUUGGAUGGGAGACCUUCUGGGAAUUCCGGGUGCUGUAGGCU
Ribosomal RNA from Centrocercus urophasianus (Greater sage-grouse), 119 nucleotides. NCBI's taxonomy places the organism in Eukaryota, Metazoa, Chordata, Aves, Galliformes, Phasianidae. The record is from RefSeq and is a predicted model, not a curated record.